CAGCCGCCGCGGUAAAACGAAGGGGGCUAGCGUUGUUCGGAAUUACUGGGCGUAAAGGGCGCGUAGGCGGCCAUUCAAGUUAGAUGUGAAAGCCCUGGGCUCAACCUAGGAAUUGCAUUUGAUACUGUUUGGCUUGAGUUCGGGAGAGGUGAGUGGAAUUCCCAGUGUAGAGGUGAAAUUCGUAGAUAUUGGGAAGAACACCAGUGGCGAAGGCGGCUCACUGGACCGACACUGACGCUGAGGCGCGAAAGCGUGGGGAGCAAACAGGAUUAGAUACCCCGGUAGUCCCUGUCUCUUAUAC
This 301-nucleotide ribosomal RNA is filed under the name uncultured bacterium. Its description in RNAcentral is "partial 16S ribosomal RNA". It matches the Rfam family "Bacterial small subunit ribosomal RNA", at positions 509 to 807 of the family's 1533-position model. The record is from RNAcentral.